This 378-nucleotide ribosomal RNA is filed under the name Hyloniscus sp. RNAcentral's name for it is "partial large subunit ribosomal RNA". It matches the Rfam family "Bacterial large subunit ribosomal RNA", at positions 1927 to 2561 of the family's 2925-position model. The record is from RNAcentral. Lineage: Eukaryota; Metazoa; Arthropoda; Malacostraca; Isopoda; Trichoniscidae.
ACUGCCGCAGUAUUCUGACUGUGCUAAGGUAGCAUAAUCACUUGUUUUUUAAUUGAAAACUAGAAUAAACGGUAUGACGAGGGAAACACUGUCUCCUUAAAAUUAUGAACUUUAUUUAAAGGUAAAAAAGCCUUUUUAACCUAAAAAGACGACAAGACCCUAGAACCUAUUUAUUCAUUAAGCAAAGGCUUGAAUAUUAAAUUUACUGGGGCGGUAAAAAAUUCAAUCAUUUUAAUCAUCCCCACUAUGAGUGUUAACAAAUACCCAAAUAGUAAUUAAAAAGGUACUCUAGGGAUAACAGCACCCCACAUCUUUAGAGGCCUUAUCGCUAGAUGUAGAGUGACCUCGAUGUUGAAUUGAAGUUCCUGGUUUGAGCAG